UACGGAGGGUGCAAGCGUUGUCCGGAUUUAUUGGGCUUAAAGGGUGCGUAGGCGGCUAGUUACGUCAGCGGUGAAAUUCCACAGCUUAACUGUGGAACUGCCAUUGAUACUGGUUGGCUUGAGUACAGAUGAGGUAGGCGGAAUUGACAGUGUAGCGGUGAAAUGCUUAGAUAUUGUCAAGAACACCUAUGGCGAAGGCAGCUUACUAAGCUGUAACUGACGCUGAGGCACGAAAGCGUGGGGAUCAAACAGG
RNAcentral lists this ribosomal RNA (253 nucleotides) under uncultured bacterium. RNAcentral's name for it is "partial 16S ribosomal RNA". It matches the Rfam family "Bacterial small subunit ribosomal RNA", at positions 524 to 776 of the family's 1533-position model. The record is from RNAcentral.